Molecule: ribosomal RNA, 1155 nt
Filed under: Triticum aestivum (bread wheat)
Lineage: Eukaryota; Viridiplantae; Streptophyta; Magnoliopsida; Poales; Poaceae
Description: partial small subunit ribosomal RNA
Source: RNAcentral
AUGCUCCGCCUCCGAACCUGCAUCCUCACCCAUCCCCCCUCUUCGCCCGCCACCCAUCCCGUCCCCUGUCUCCACCGCCUCCUCUCCGCCGCCGCGCCCGCCGUCUCCCCAGGCCCCCGAUUCGCCGUCGAGGACUACCUCGUCGACACCUGCGGCCUCACCCGAGCGCAGGCCCUCAAGGCCUCCACCAAGCUCUCCCACCUCAAAUCCCCCACGAACCCCGACGCCGUGCUCGCCUUCCUCGCCGGCCUCGGCCUAUCCAGCGCCGACGUCGCCGCACUCGUGGCCCGCGACCCGAAGUUUCUCUGCGCCGGCGUCGAGAGAACCCUGUCUCCCAUCCUCGCCGGGCUCACCGGCCUCGGCCUAUCGCGCUCUGAGAUCGCGCGCGUCGCCUCGCUCGCACCCCGCAGCUUCCGCUCUAGAUCUGUCGUUUCCGGGCUGGAGUACUACCUCCCCCUCUUUAGCUCCUCCGAGAGCCUUCUCCGGGGGCUCAAGAAAUACAAGUACUUUCUCAGUUCUGAUCCAGAGAGGGUGGUCAAGCCCAAUAUUGAGUUACUGCGGGAGUGCGGGCUAGGCACUUCCGAUAUUGCGAAGCUCUGCCUCGCUGUGCCAUGGCUGCUCAGCGCCAAGCCGGAGCGCGUCCAGGUGAUGCUGGCGUGCGCGGAACGUCUCGGUGUGCCCCGUGGAUCGGGGAUGUUCAGGCACGCUUUGAAGGCUGUUGAAUCCCUUAGUGAGGAGAAGCUCGCCGCCAAAGUGGAGUACUUAAGGAACACGUUCAGGUGGUCGGAUGCUGAGGUGGGCAUUGCUCUUCGUAAGGCCCCACUGAUGCUGACCAAAUCCAAUCAGACAAUGCAGAGCAAGUCGGAGUUUCUUAUCUCUGAGAUGGGGUUGGAACCGGCGUACCUUGCUCAUUGCCCGGUAAUGCUCUGCCUUAGUCUGGAGGGCCGAGUCAAGCCACGGUGCUAUGUUAUAAAGUUUCUUAAGGCAAAUGGAUUGCUAGAUCGCCACUGGACCUAUGGGACAAUUGUCAGGGUGUCCGAGAUGGUAUUUGUGGAGACGUUCAUAUGCCCUCACAAGGAAGCUGCACCGAACCUUGCUGAAGAUUAUGAUGCCGCAUGCAGAGGGGAAAUGCCGACUAAUUUCAGAUUUACAUGA